GUAGGGAAUAUUGGGCAAUGGAGGCAACUCUGACCCAGCCAUGCCGCGUGCAGGAUGACGGCCCUCUGGGUUGUAAACUGCUUUUAUACGGGAAGAAAAAAUACUACGUGUAGUAUACUGACGGUACCGUAAGAAUAAGGAUCGGCUAACUCCGUGCCAGCAGCCGCGGUAAUACGGAGGAUCCAAGCGUUGUCCGGAUGUAUUGGGUUUAAAGGGUGCGUAGGCGGAUCUUUAAGUCAGUGGUGAACGCCUGCAGCUUAACUGUAGAAUUGCCAUUGAAACUGAAGAUCUUGAAUGUGGUUAAAGUAGGCGGAAUGUAUCAUGUAGCGGUGAAAUGCUUAGAUAUGAUACAGAACACCGAUAGCGAAGGCAGCUUGCUGAACCAUUAUUGACGCUGAGGCACGAAAGCGUGGGGAGCGAACAGGAUUAGAUACCCGUGUAGUCC
Molecule: ribosomal RNA, 445 nt
Filed under: uncultured bacterium
Lineage: Bacteria
Description: partial 16S ribosomal RNA
Rfam family: Bacterial small subunit ribosomal RNA
Source: RNAcentral